UGGGGAAUAUUGGACAAUGGGGGAAACCCUGAUCCAGCAAUGCCGCGUGUGUGAAGAAGGCCUUCGGGUUGUAAAGCACUUUCGGUGGGGAAGAAAUUCUCAAGGCUAAUACCCUUGAAGCUUGACGUUACCUACAGAAGAAGCACUGGCUAACUCUGUGCCAGCAGCCGCGGUAAUACAGAGAGUGCAAGCGUUAAUCGGAAUCACUGGGCGUAAAGCGCGCGUAGGUGGAUAUUUAAGUCGGAUGUGAAAGCCCCGGGCUUAACCUGGGAAUUGCAUCCGAUACUGGCUAUCUCGAGUAUGGUAGAGGGAAGUGGAAUUUCCGGUGUAGCGGUGAAAUGCGUAGAUAUCGGAAAGAACACCAGUGGCGAAGGCGGCUUCCUGGACCAAUACUGACACUGAGGUGCGAAAGCGUGGGGAGCAAACAGGAUUAGAGACCCUGGUAGUCCACGCUGUCAACGAUGAGAACUAGCUGUUGGAAAGUUUACUUUCUAGUAGCGAAGCUAACGCGUUAAGUUCUCCGCCUGGGGAGUACGGCCGCAAGGUUAAAACUCAAAGAAAUUGACGGGGGCCCGCACAAGCGGUGGAGCAUGUGGUUUAAUUCGAUGCAACGCGAAGAACCUUACCUACCCUUGACAUCCUCGGAACUUGUCAGAAAAUGACUUGGUGCCUUUGGGAACCGAGUGACAGGUGCUGCAUGGCUGUCGUCAGCUCGUGUCGUGAGAUGUUGGGUUAAGUCCCGUAACGAGCGCAACCCUCGUCCUUAGUUGCCAGCGGUUCGGCCGGGAACUCUAAGGAGACUGCCGGUGAUAAACCGGAGGAAGGUGGGGAUGAUGUCAAGUCAUCAUGGCCCUUACGGGUAG
RNAcentral lists this ribosomal RNA (863 nucleotides) under uncultured Coxiella sp. Its description in RNAcentral is "bacterial SSU rRNA". It matches the Rfam family "Bacterial small subunit ribosomal RNA", at positions 355 to 1211 of the family's 1533-position model. Lineage: Bacteria; Pseudomonadati; Pseudomonadota; Gammaproteobacteria; Legionellales; Coxiellaceae. The record is from RNAcentral.